GAGAUUAAGGAAUCCAGUGAACAAACACAAGUCAAUCACAUUUACUACGGAAAACAAUUACUCAAUUCAGCGAGAGGAAGAAUAACAUCUACCGGAGUUCUAGCCUUCCAUUCUGAAGGGGCAUGGAGAGGGGACGAGGUUUCUUCCUCAUCUCAGAUGGAUCCUUUGCAGAAUUCAUGCUAAUGAAGUAACCUGUGAAGCAAGAAAUUGGGAACUCCUAAAGGCUUCACUAGCCAGGACUAAGCACUUCAAGCAGGCAAAGGGGCAGAUACUCAGAAAACCAGUGAAGGCCGGGGGGACACCAACAGCGUUUCCAGGGUUGUGAGUUAAAAAGACUGGAAUUUACACCACUGGCUCCCCUGCUUCUCAGGCCUUCAGACUUGGAAUGAAUUACAC
This 396-nucleotide long non-coding RNA is filed under the name Homo sapiens (human). RNAcentral describes it as "HSALNT0356226". Lineage: Eukaryota; Metazoa; Chordata; Mammalia; Primates; Hominidae. The record is from RNAcentral.